AACCCCCAUAGUGUUUAAGCACAGUAAAUUUUCAUUUUACAAGAACAUAUUUAUGUUGGGUGU
Molecule: transfer RNA, 63 nt
Filed under: Laevipilina antarctica
Lineage: Eukaryota; Metazoa; Mollusca; Monoplacophora; Tryblidiida; Neopilinidae
Description: tRNA-Glu
Source: RNAcentral